GACGAACGCUGGCGGCGUGCUUAACACAUGCAAGUCGAACGGAAAGGCCCUGCUUUUGUGGGGUGCUCGAGUGGCGAACGGGUGAGUAACACGUGAGUAACCUGCCCUUGACUUUGGGAUAACUUCAGGAAACUGGGGCUAAUAACGGAUAGGAGCUCCUGCUGCAUGGUGGGGGUUGGAAAUUUUCGGCGGUUGGGGAUGGACGCGCGGCUUAUCAGCUUGUUGGUGGGGUAGUGGCUUACCAAGGGUUCGACGGGUAGCCGGCCUGAGUGGGUGACCGGACACAUGGACACUACGAUACGGCCCAGACUCCUACGGGAGUCAGAGGUGGGGAAUUUUGCACAAUGGGCGGAAGCCUGAUGCAGCAACGCCGGGUGCGGGAUGACUGCCUUCGGGUUGUAAACCGCUUUCGCCUGUGACGAAGCGUGAGUGACGGUAAUGGGUCAAAAAGCACCGGCUUACUACGUG
Molecule: ribosomal RNA, 468 nt
Filed under: uncultured bacterium
Lineage: Bacteria
Description: partial 16S ribosomal RNA
Rfam family: Bacterial small subunit ribosomal RNA
Source: RNAcentral